RNAcentral lists this ribosomal RNA (252 nucleotides) under uncultured bacterium. RNAcentral describes it as "partial 16S ribosomal RNA". It matches the Rfam family "Bacterial small subunit ribosomal RNA", at positions 524 to 776 of the family's 1533-position model. The record is from RNAcentral.
UACGGAGGAUGCGAGCGUUAUCCGGAUUUAUUGGGUUUAAAGGGUGCGUAGGCGGAUCGUUAAGUCAGUGGUCAAAUUGAGGGGCUCAACCCCUUCCCGCCAUUGAAACUGGCGAUCUUGAGUGGAAGAGAAGUAUGCGGAAUGCGUGGUGUAGCGGUGAAAUGCAUAGGUAUCACGCAGAACCCCGAUUGCGAAGGCAGCAUGCCGGCUUCCUACUGACGCUGAGGCACGAAAGCGUGGGUAUCGAACAGG